CCAGGUCUCCGGCCGGGUGGACACUCGCCAGCCCCUGAAGGCCGGACAGCAGGCGGGCAGGCGCGCUGAGGGACGUGACGUGGUCCGGUGUGACGGCGAGGACAGGCGGGCUGCCGUCGGGCCUUCCCGGACACCCGGCUGGCACGCGGAACGCUGCGACACAGCGGGUCUCUGUCCCUUCACUUUCCCGAAGGAGUCUUCACUCUGCUGCUCUCUGGACCCCAGAACCCUCCACACGAAAGAAAUGGUGCUACCCAGCUCAUGCCUGGGCCUUCCCAUCCGGGACGUCUGCACGUCUGUCCAGCUCUGCAGGGAGACAGACAGGCUGCACACGGAACCACUACUCCACCCGACUCAGGAACCGGCUCCGAGGGUUGAGCUGAAGGAACAGGACCCGCAGACACCACCCAAGAGCAGCAUCCGCGCCACCCCCAGCUUGGCAACUCCACCGCCGCGGCCACCCCCUGCCACGCGUGGGGACCGCGCCCGCCCGCCACGCCAUCCCGGGGCGGGACGGCCCCCCACCUCCCUCUUCUGUCCUUCUUCCUCCUUUCCUUGUCUUCUGCUUUCUGCCUUUUCUGUCUUUCCUCUGCUUGAGAGGCGCCAGGCACCCGCGGCUCCGUCCCCGUCCCUCCCAAGCUCGAUUUGCACUAAGUCACUUGCACUGGUUUGGAGCCGGCGGCGGCCUCGGGUCUCUCCGUGCGAGUGAGCGUGUGCGUGUGCGUGUGCGUGUGCGUGUGCGGCCCCCUUGGCCAGCAGCUCCGCGCCGGCGCCCGCCUGCCUGUCCACCUCUGUCUGGGGGCGCCCGGGCGCGGCCGUGUGCAUGAGGCCUCACCCUCCCUCGCCUGGUCUGGAAGCUCCCCGACAACGGAGCACUCGACGACACCCCACACCCCCACCUUGCCCGUGCCCUUCCCCCGCCGGGGCCUCACCAGAAGCCCCGGCCUCAUCAAUAAAUACAGUUACAGUCACCCGU
Molecule: long non-coding RNA, 976 nt
Filed under: Microcebus murinus (gray mouse lemur)
Lineage: Eukaryota; Metazoa; Chordata; Mammalia; Primates; Cheirogaleidae
Description: lncRNA (ENSMICG00000048188.1)
Source: RNAcentral